RNAcentral lists this long non-coding RNA (2395 nucleotides) under Homo sapiens (human). Its description in RNAcentral is "HSALNT0402282". The record is from RNAcentral. Lineage: Eukaryota; Metazoa; Chordata; Mammalia; Primates; Hominidae.
GAAGCGAGGCAUUUUGGCUAGUCACCGCGUUUUUGCUGCGUCACAGGGAGACAGAAGAUGGGCUGCUAUUUCGUCGGCUAAAUGCUAUCAUUUUAAGCACCGUUCCAAAGAAAACAGGGAUCUUGCCAGAGGAAAAUAACAUAUACCAUAAAGGAAAAAGAAAUGUGCAUCAAGGCAAAUAAACAGCUCUCUACUAAGGGCCUAGGAUCUUGCUAGACGAGUCAUUUCUCUGGUUGAAAAGCAGUUGAGAAAGGCAAGACAAGGGGGGCGGGGGCCCAGCAGGGCACCUCUGAGCCCUUCCUGCUGCUCUUCAAAGACAGACGCAUUUUCCUUUCUACGGUCUCCUUGCAAGUCUUCUGUAGGCCCUGCCACCUUCAGGCUGACUGACUGCCUCCUUCAAAUAUCAGCAUUUGGCUCAGAAGAAAAGCCACGUCUGCCUACACAAUCUCACAAUCCGGCUUCAGCAAAGCAUGAGUUAAUUCAACUUCAUACUCGUGAACGUGAAGCGGGGGUUGGAAGGAAUGAAGGCUGCAGGACACCCAUGUACCAAGAAAAAGAAAGACAAAUUGGUUGUUUUAUCUACUUUACAUCAUGAUGGAGUCCUAAAAAGGGCCCCAUGAAGGCAGGCAGCCCAGGGAGGAAUGACUGGACGGUGACAUUGUGCAGGGGGUCUGGAAGUUGCCAGCGCAGGGGUUAGCAGCUGCAGCCUGGCCUGGUCCUGUCUGCCUGGCUGUCAAACCCAGAAGACCGUGGUUUCUGGUGGCCUCUGUGUGACAGCGGAGGAGGUGGGGCGAGGCCUGGAAGUGAAGCAUCUCGUGAGCCACUUAAGUGUUUAUGAAGCUCGCUAAUGUGCUUAAAUGAACGAGAAGCAGGUACUUGCUCCCAGGACCAGAGCCACCAAAGCAAUUUCCUCUGCAGCCCCUCAUACUUCGCACACUGGAAGCUUGCAUUCUUUCCCAGAGGACAGCCGGAUUACAGCACCGCCUCUAAUGCAACCCGAUCUGGUUUCUUUGAGCGCCGCGGUGAACGUGCAAUCUAUCUCAUAAAUGCAUCGCAGUGUUCCACAAAUCACCCACGUUCAUCCCUUGAGACGUCUUUAACUCGGGGCUUAGAGUUGCAAAUGAAUUCUCCUAUGGAUCUAUUAUUCCAUCAAAUAGCGGAGAGAGGGGACUAGCUUGUGCAGAGCCUUCAUAGAGCUGGGCUAAAUUCGAUUAUGCAAAGUCUAACGAGCACCAUUCAGCAAAACCAUGGUGGGUGUGAGCUGCAGGCCAGCCCCUCCACUGGGCCAUUAUCCAGGGGUAAACACCACUCGUGGGUUAGUUCCACGAGUUACUGGCUGAUUUGACCUGUGAUACUCCAAGGUGGAAGUAACCAAAUAAUAUGUAUCAUGAGCCCCAAGAACGAAGCCAGUGGAGAGUGGUACAUGCUAGAGGGUAACGCCUGGCCCUUUGCAGGACAGCACGUCAGCCAUGCGCCAUGGGACGAUGGUGGUGGCUGGGACACAGGAGGCCACGGCAGGAAAUGGGCAGGUGGGUGGGUCUAUGUAAGCUGGCUUUAGACUUCAAUCCACAAGCAUUUGCAGCUCAACUACUCAGCGUCUUAUCUUAUUUAAUCCUUUCAGCAAUAAACACUCUUUUCACAUGUAGUAAGGUUAAGGAGUCUACAUCACACCCUUUAUCAUUAUUAAUAAAGGGACACACCCUCCAGGGAUCCUAGGGAACCUCCUACCCACCCUGUGGUCACUCUAGGGAAAGGAAAGCUCUCAGGGACCGACGGGAGCCUGGGCACAUGCGCCACCACUCUCUCCUUUAUCCCCUCUAGCCCGGCUUGCUGGCUCUCACUUUCUUUUGUGCACUAGAACUCACGUACAAGUUGCACACCCAAACCCUUGCAUGCUGCAUUUCAGAGUCAACUUCAGUGAUUUUUGAGAGUGAUUUUGACAAUCCCAGUCAAAAUUCUAGCAGGUUUUUUUUUUUUACAUGACAAGUGGAUUCUAAAAUUCAUAGGAAAAUGCAAAUGACCUAGAAGAGCCAAAGCAAUUUUGGAAGGAGUAAAGUCGAAUGGCUGACGCUACCAGAUUUCAAGAUUCACUUGAAACGCACAGGAAUCAAGACAGGGUGGUGUCGACAGAAGGAAGGCGUCAGAGCAGGGUGACAGGAGGCAGGGCCACACACAGACGGCUGAUUGAUACCCGACAAAACCGCCGAGGUAAUUUCACAGGGAAAGGAACUCUUUUGAACAAAUGGUGCACCAACAAUUGGAUAACCAUACGGAAAAAAUUUAAAAAACAGAAGAACAUUGACCCUUCACGCACAUCAAACAUAAAUUAACUCAGAAUCCAUCAUAGGCUGGGUGUUGUGGCUCAUGCCUUUAAUCCUAGCACUUUGGGAGGCCA